UACGGAGGGGGCUAGCGUUGUUCGGAAUUACUGGGCGUAAAGCGCACGUAGGCGGCUUUGUAAGUUAGAGGUGAAAGCCCAGGGCUCAACUCUGGAAUUGCCUUUAAGACUGCAUCGCUUGAAUCAUGGAGAGGUGAGUGGAAUUCCGAGUGUAGAGGUGAAAUUCGUAGAUAUUCGGAAGAACACCAGUGGCGAAGGCGACUCACUGGACAUGUAUUGACGCUGAGGUGCGAAAGCGUGGGGAGCAAACAGG
RNAcentral lists this ribosomal RNA (253 nucleotides) under uncultured bacterium. RNAcentral's name for it is "partial 16S ribosomal RNA". It matches the Rfam family "Bacterial small subunit ribosomal RNA", at positions 524 to 776 of the family's 1533-position model. The record is from RNAcentral.